AAUGAACGCUGGCGGCAGGCCUAACACAUGCAAGUCGAACGGAUCCUUCGGGAUUAGUGGCGGACGGGUGAGUAACGCGUGGGAACAUACCCAAAGGUACGGAAUAGCCUCGGGAAACUGGGAGUAAUACCGUAUGUGCUCGAAAGAGGAAAGAUUUAUCGCCUUUGGAUUGGCCCGCGUUGGAUUAGGUAGUUGGUGGGGUAAUGGCCUACCAAGCCGACGAUCCAUAGCUGGUUUGAGAGGAUGAUCAGCCACACUGGGACUGAGACACGGCCCAGACUCCUACGGGAGGCAGCAGUGGGGAAUCUUAGACAAUGGGGAAACCUUGAUCUAGCCAUGCCGCGUGAUCGAUGAAGGCCUUAGGGUUGUAAAGAUCUCUCAGGUGGGAAGAUAAUGACUGUACCACCAGAAGAAGCCCCGGCUAACUCCGUGCCAGCCGCCGCAGUAA
This 448-nucleotide ribosomal RNA is filed under the name uncultured bacterium. RNAcentral describes it as "partial 16S ribosomal RNA". It matches the Rfam family "Bacterial small subunit ribosomal RNA", at positions 29 to 523 of the family's 1533-position model. The record is from RNAcentral.